Molecule: ribosomal RNA, 691 nt
Filed under: Saccharomonospora sp.
Lineage: Bacteria; Bacillati; Actinomycetota; Actinomycetes; Pseudonocardiales; Pseudonocardiaceae
Description: bacterial SSU rRNA
Rfam family: Bacterial small subunit ribosomal RNA
Source: RNAcentral
ACGGGUGAGUAACACGUGGGUAAUCUGCCCUGUACUCUGGGAUAAGCCUGGGAAACUGGGUCUAAUACCGGAUAGGACACAGCCUCGCAUGGGGGUGUGUGGAAAGUUCCGGCGGUACAGGUUGAGCCCGCGGCCUAUCAGCUUGUUGGUGGGGUGAUGGCCUACCAAGGCGACGACGGGUAGCCGGCCUGAGAGGGUGACCGGCCACACUGGGACUGAGACACGGCCCAGACUCCUACGGGAGGCAGCAGUGGGGAAUAUUGCACAAUGGGCGCAAGCCUGAUGCAGCGACGCCGCGUGGGGGAUGACGGCCUUCGGGUUGUAAACCCCUUUCGCCAGGGACGAAGCGUGAGUGACGGUACCUGGAGAAGAAGCACCGGCCAACUACGUGCCAGCAGCCGCGGUAAUACGUAGGGUGCAAGCGUUGUCCGGAAUUAUUGGGCGUAAAGAGCUCGUAGGCGGUGUGUCACGUCUGCCGUGAAAACCUGCGGCUUAACCGUGGGCGUGCGGUGGAUACGGGCAUCACUUGAGUUCGGUAGGGGAGACUGGAAUUCCUGGUGUAGCGGUGGAAUGCGCAGAUAUCAGGAGGAACACCGGUGGCGAAGGCGGGUCUCUGGGCCGAUACUGACGCUGAGGAGCGAAAGCGUGGGGAGCGAACAGGAUUAGAUACCCUGGUAGUCCACGCCGUAAA